This 2805-nucleotide ribosomal RNA is filed under the name Salmonella enterica subsp. enterica serovar Typhimurium. RNAcentral describes it as "partial 23S ribosomal RNA". It matches the Rfam family "Bacterial large subunit ribosomal RNA". The record is from RNAcentral. Lineage: Bacteria; Pseudomonadati; Pseudomonadota; Gammaproteobacteria; Enterobacterales; Enterobacteriaceae.
UUGUGAGGUUAAGCGACUAAGCGUACACGGUGGAUGCCCUGGCAGUCAGAGGCGAUGAAGGGCGUGCUAAUCUGCGAUAAGCGCCGGUAAGGUGAUAUGAACCGUUAUAACCGGCGAUACCCGAAUGGGGAAACCCAGUGUGAUUCGUCACACUAUCAUUAACUGAAUCCAUAGGUUAAUGAGGCGAACCGGGGGAACUGAAACAUCUAAGUACCCCGAGGAAAAGAAAUCAACCGAGAUUCCCCCAGUAGCGGCGAGCGAACGGGGAGGAGCCCAGAGCCUGAAUCAGCAUGUGUGUUAGUGGAAGCGUCUGGAAAGGCGCGCGAUACAGGGUGACAGCCCCGUACACAAAAGCGCAUGUGCUGUGAGCUCGAUGAGUAGGGCGGGACACGUGGUAUCCUGUCUGAAUAUGGGGGGACCAUCCUCCAAGGCUAAAUACUCCUGACUGACCGAUAGUGAACCAGUACCGUGAGGGAAAGGCGAAAAGAACCCCGGCGAGGGGAGUGAAAAAGAACCUGAAACCGUGUACGUACAAGCAGUGGGAGCNNNNNNNNNNNNNNNNNNNNNNNNNNNNNNNNNNNNNNGGGCGUUAAGUUGCAGGGUAUAGACCCGAAACCCGGUGAUCUAGCCAUGGGCAGGUUGAAGGUUGGGUAACACUAACUGGAGGACCGAACCGACUAAUGUUGAAAAAUUAGCGGAUGACCUGUGGCUGGGGGUGAAAGGCCAAUCAAACCGGGAGAUAGCUGGUUCUCCCCGAAAGCUAUUUAGGUAGCGCCUCGUGAAUUCAUCUCCGGGGGUAGAGCACUGUUUCGGCUAGGGGGCCAUCCCGGCUUACCAACCCGAUGCAAACUGCGAAUACCGGAGAAUGUUAUCACGGGAGACACACGGCGGGUGCUAACGUCCGUCGUGAAGAGGGAAACAACCCAGACCGCCAGCUAAGGUCCCAAAGUCAUGGUUAAGUGGGAAACGAUGUGGGAAGGCCCAGACAGCCAGGAUGUUGGCUUAGAAGCAGCCAUCAUUUAAAGAAAGCGUAAUAGCUCACUGGUCGAGUCGGCCUGCGCGGAAGAUGUAACGGGGCUAAACCAUGCACCGAAGCUGCGGCAGCGANNNNNNNNNNNNNNNNNNNNNNNNNNNNNNUGCUGGAGGUAUCAGAAGUGCGAAUGCUGACAUAAGUAACGAUAAAGCGGGUGAAAAGCCCGCUCGCCGGAAGACCAAGGGUUCCUGUCCAACGUUAAUCGGGGCAGGGUGAGUCGACCCCUAAGGCGAGGCCGAAAGGCGUAGUCGAUGGGAAACGGGUUAAUAUUCCCGUACUUGGUGUUACUGCGAAGGGGGGACGGAGAAGGCUAUGUUGGCCGGGCGACGGUUGUCCCGGUUUAAGCGUGUAGGUGUGUGUUCCAGGUAAAUCCGGUUCACUUUAACACUGAGGCGUGACGACGAGGCACUACGGUGCUGAAGCAACAAAUGCCCUGCUUCCAGGAAAAGCCUCUAAGCAUCAGGUAACACGAAAUCGUACCCCAAACCGACACAGGUGGUCAGGUAGAGAAUACCAAGGCGCUUGAGAGAACUCGGGUGAAGGAACUAGGCAAAAUGGUGCCGUAACUUCGGGAGAAGGCACGCUGACACGUAGGUGAAGUGAUUUACUCAUGGAGCUGAAGUCAGUCGAAGAUACCAGCUGGCUGCAACUGUUUAUUAAAAACACAGCACUGUGCAAACACGAAAGUGGACGUAUACGGUGUGACGCCUGCCCGGUGCCGGAAGGUUAAUUGAUGGGGUCAGCGCAAGCGAAGCUCCUGAUCGAAGCCCCGGUAAACGGCGGCCGUAACUAUAACGGUCCUAAGGUAGCGAAAUUCCUUGUCGGGUAAGUUCCGACCUGCACGAAUGGCGUAAUGAUGGCCAGGCUGUCUCCACCCGAGACUCAGUGAAAUUGAACUCGCUGUGAAGAUGCAGUGUACCCGCGGCAAGACGGAAAGACCCCGUGAACCUUUACUAUAGCUUGACACUGAACAUUGAGCCUUGAUGUGUAGGAUAGGUGGGAGGCUUUGAAGUGUGGACGCCAGUCUGCAUGGAGCCGACCUUGAAAUACCACCCUUUAAUGUUUGAUGUUCUAACGUGGACCCGUAAUCCGGGUUGCGGACAGUGUCUGGUGGGUAGUUUGACUGGGGCGGUCUCCUCCUAAAGAGUAACGGAGGAGCACGAAGGUUGGCUAAUCCUGGUCGGACAUCAGGAGGUUAGUGCAAUGGCAUAAGCCAGCUUGACUGCGAGCGUGACGGCGCGAGCAGGUGCGAAAGCAGGUCAUAGUGAUCCGGUGGUUCUGAAUGGAAGGGCCAUCGCUCAACGGAUAAAAGGUACUCCGGGGAUAACAGGCUGAUACCGCCCAAGAGUUCAUAUCGACGGCGGUGUUUGGCACCUCGAUGUCGGCUCAUCACAUCCUGGGGCUGAAGUAGGUCCCAAGGGUAUGGCUGUUCGCCAUUUAAAGUGGUACGCGAGCUGGGUUUAGAACGUCGUGAGACAGUUCGGUCCCUAUCUGCCGUGGGCGCUGGAGAACUGAGGGGGGCUGCUCCUAGUACGAGAGGACCGGAGUGGACGCAUCACUGGUGUUCGGGUUGUCAUGCCAAUGGCACUGCCCGGUAGCUAAAUGCGGAAGAGAUAAGUGCUGAAAGCAUCUAAGCACGAAACUUGCCCCGAGAUGAGUUCUCCCUGAGACUUAGAGUCUCCUGAAGGAACGUUGAAGACGACGACGUUGAUAGGCCGGGUGUGUAAGCGCAGCGAUGCGUUGAGCUAACCGGUACUAAUGAACCGUGAGGC